AAGGUCUUGAGUUAAAUUCAACUAAGUAUAUUGUUAUGUGGUUUGGUAGAUUGGUCCAUUGAAUUGGAUGGAGAAUCAUCCUACUCGAGGACAAGGAGGCAAAGCAGUUCUGAAAAGGGAAAAAUAAGUUUCUGAAAUGAGUUCAUAUACUUUUUAUCCCAUCAAUAAACAUUUACACAAGGGGCUGGUACAAAUAUGCUUUUCUAUGCUCAAGGAUUUUUAUUUCCCUUAUUUGGUACACUAUGCUUAGGGAUUUGGAGCUUAUGGCUCCAAGAUUUAUAAUAGCACAGUUGUCAAAUUAGUUACUGUAAAUGCUAGUACAAGGAGUAGUUGUCAUUAAUUUUACUUGUAGGUACAUAACAGUAGUGAUGUUGGGGUAAUGUCGGGGUAAGGAACCUGACACCUAAAUUAUUUAAUUGAGACAACUCUCAAAUUAUUCGGUGCAUUCGUUGUUUGUACAACACAUUCACCAUGACAUUUGAUUAUAGUGGGAUCCCACUAUAAU
Molecule: unclassified non-coding RNA, 505 nt
Filed under: Hevea brasiliensis (rubber tree)
Lineage: Eukaryota; Viridiplantae; Streptophyta; Magnoliopsida; Malpighiales; Euphorbiaceae
Source: RNAcentral